AAGAUUAUAUAUAUGUAUUUAAAUAAAUAAAGCGUAAACUUAAGUUGGUCGGUUGUGAUAGAUUAAUGUAUUUUAUCCGUUGAUGCUGCUGAUGUAUAUAAAGAUUUUCGCAAUGUACAUGUAUGUGUAAUCGAAAAGAGUUUACGUAGAGAAAUUAUUCCUUUAUCAUAAUAUUUUAGAUUAACUUUACGAUUUUGAGACAUGUGGGUGGUAUUCAAUCGCAUUUUGGUAGCAAGAGCAAGAAAGAAAUGAAAGCUGAUAACAAAUGACUCAACAUUAUCUCCCCUGAUGCUUAGUGGUGUAGACCACUUAAUCGCCCAUUCUGUUCACCAACUAGAUGUGGCCAGAAAAAUGCGACAUGGAAGAAAUGAAGAAAAUCGAUUGAGUAAACAAUUGGUAAGCUACAUAUUGCAGUUUUGGUUCAUAUUCGUAUUUAAGAAGGGAGGAAAAAAGGAACGAGCAAAGAUUCUAUCUAUCAGCUUUUGCGGGUUUUUUUCGCAUUGAAUUAUCACAGACAUGAUGGGCAUCAUCAUCACAUCAUCAUCAUGGAGUACAUUUAAACACAUCAGCGAAGCUUAUUCAUCUUUAAUAUCAUCAGCAAGCCAGACAAGUUUUAAAAACUUAAACAGCACUUGUAUCAUAAACAUAUAAAUAUGAUUAAUUCUUAAUCUUGCGACUAAGUGUGUUUAUAACUCGUUUCAAUUUUUGUAUUAUUGUUUUUAUUAUAUGAAAAAAAUAUGAUUAUUUUCACGAAGAUUUCAUGUACAAAAUCAGAU
Molecule: long non-coding RNA, 776 nt
Filed under: Androctonus crassicauda
Lineage: Eukaryota; Metazoa; Arthropoda; Arachnida; Scorpiones; Buthidae
Source: RNAcentral